UCCUUCCUUCUUUCCUUCCUUCCUUCCCUCCCUCCUCCCCUCCCUCCUGCCCCCCGGUGACAUUGAAUCCAUCCCUAGAGCCGUGCAGAGCCUCCUGGGCAACGCACAGAUGCCGUGGUGGGAUAGGGAGCAGGGACUACAGCCCUGACAUACGUCGCCACCGUUUGCCGGCUCCGUGUUCCAACACCGCCAUCCAGCAAAAAUGGUAUGCCCUGGAUGUUUGCUACUUUCAACAUCCCAACCCUGCCACCAAAAAAAAAAAAAAAGUUCCUCCAGCAGAUGCUGCUCCAAGGGGAGGCCAGCUUCUAAACAUGAAACAGCCACCUUGCACCAGAGGCUCUGGAGGACUGAUGGGGCAGCACUGGCCCUGCUGCUGCUUCAGUGCAAGAACUGCUGUCAUCGUCAGGGGCAGUGUCAAAGACCUGAGGCCAGAUGUUUGCAUCCAGUCUGACCUUCCAGAACUGAUCUGAAGGCUGACAGCAGAAACUCGGCAUCUGAGGCACCUCCCAGAGUCCCAGAAUGGGGACUUUUUGACCAGCUGAGAUCAGAUGGAAUUUCACAAAGAAGAGACCCUGAAGGAGACAAAGGAAAGAUGUUCUGCCUAAACUUAGCUAAAAUAAGAACAGCAAGUAGAUUUUCAAGAGUUGCUCCUCCUGAUGCCCUGUCCUACGCAAGCAGUGAAGGAUCGAGAAUACACUUGAUCCAGCCACUCUGUAUUUUUCUCAGCAUUUGCUCAAAUAUUAGCAUUUGGCUGUCAUCCCCCUCCUUUCAGCCCCCUUCCCUUCCCCUCCCCUUCAGACUCUACAAAUGAACAACUCAUUGUCCUCUGCCUGGGCUGUGCCAGCGGAGGGCCCUCUAGUACAGCUGUUGCCAGAUCAGACCUUGUCUGGGCUUCCAGUUUAGGAUGGGAUUCUGAAAACAAAACAAAAUAGUGUUUGAAAUCAGUUGAGUAACGCUGUUUCUCCCAUACACUGCUACUAGAUUUCUCAGCAUUUUCUGCAUUUUCUGCACACUUUAGAAAUGACCUUUGCUGAUUAAGGCCCAGAUUACAUGUAAUGCUCUGGUUGAUCUGCUGAAGUUUAGGUUGUCUUGUAGCUCUUUGCACAUAACCACCUGUCCAUGUAUCUUAGCUGUUGGCAAAUGCUGGCUUCACUCCUACCACCAGUGGGACGAUUUACUUUCCCUCUGGCUUAUUGUAUAGUAGAAAGAGAAAGGAAAAAGGGAAAGACUCUCUGGUUUAGUCUAGAUAUCAGAGUCCCACAGUAAACAUCUUAAUUGUGAAUUAAAGUCACCAUAUUUCAGUGAAACCAUUAAAGAAUAAAUGAAGUAAAUGCAUUGUAGAUACACUCCUUCCUACUGGUAGCAGAAAUAUCUACUAACUUGACCAUCAACUCUAGACAGAAAGCCAGGUUUUUGAUAACUGCUGUAUCAUAAAAUUUCAAAUAGUUAUGAACUGGAACUUGCUUUACAUCAAGAAACAGUUCUGUAUGUUUCUGGCAACAGGAAGGCAUUGCACAACUUACCCUUUAGGCAAACAAGAUAUUAAGUAAUUGUACGGGGAGGAAACUUGCAGAGCGGAAAACUUCAGAUAAUACGGAGACAGUGUUUGACAAGCACUACAACACUUUACUGCUUACUCUCUCUUAGCUCACACCUUAAUAAAGUAUAUAGUGCUGAGAAUGUGGUGUUUUAACAACCUCCAAAGUUUGCACACUAUUUCAAUUUGAAAAUACCUUUAUCUCAUUUAGAAAAGUAAUUUCUUACACAUUUGCACUGAAGUCGUGAUAUGUGCUGUAUCCUAAAUGCCACAAAGUAUCAGAGUGCUCCUUCAAGUUAGUAAUGCAUACUGUAGUCAAACAAAUCUGACAGACUGGCCCCAGAACAGGCUAAUCUGCGUGAACUGCUAGUCAGAUUGCAAAAGUUCCUUCACCUGACCUAUUGCUGACCUUCUGUGAGGUCAGUCACUGGAUACCAAGGUUGAAAAGUUUGAAUAAUGUUUGCUAGUGCCACACAAUCUAGUAACUGAAAUGGAAAUAGCAAUUCGUAUGUCUACCUUUGACGGCAUGGAAAAAAUGCUUCUCCUGGAUUUGUUCCACAAGAAGAUCCUAUUGAUCUUCUAUGAGUUACUUUCUCUGGGCUGAGGGGUAGUUUAUAUUGAUUACAUGAUAUAGUAGCUGAUCAGUAGGUUGUGUUUAUCAUUUCUGCAAACAACAUCUACCAUAUAUUUCAUGGCAUCAAACUAUAGUUGUAGUAUGUGAGGCAGUAAACAUCUAAUUCUGUCUAGCUGUUUGCUGUGAUCAAGAUAUUAUAAACAUACCAAAAUAGUUCACCUAACAACAUGACCUGUUUUUUUUUCUCCAUUCCAUUCAUAGCUGAAGGUGUCAGAAACUUGAGAAAGCUAUGCUUAUUAUACAUGAAUCAUUUGACAGCUAUUGAGGAUGGCAUAACCUACAUUGUAAGAUGAGUCCCUGAUGAACCAAGUGACCUUGAAGAAGUCCAGCUAGUCAACUGCUAUAUCUUCAGUGAUGCUGUGGAAAUUCUGGGUAGUUAUAAUAAUAGCAACUUUACAAAUUGAAUAUGUGUGUUUUGAAAAUCAAUACAUAAUUCUCUAACACAAGAAAAAGCAUAUGAUUCUAUGAUACAAGGUCCUUCUUUGUCCUAAACAAUAUUUUAACUGAUGGCUUAAGUGACAGAAUGGAGGAUACACUUAUAAAAUUUCAGAUGAUACUGAUCUUGGAAGGCUUACAAGCCCUGUUGGAACACAAAACCACAAAUAAAAUUGGAUGCAUUUAAGAGGAGGUUUAGAAACAGCAAUAGGGAAUUCAUUGUAAAGGGCUGCAACUGGGAAUGAGUCAUCAGAUUCAUUAAAAUAAAUGGAGAUUUAUCUGUGUAACAGAAAAAAAUUAGAGCUCUUCUGUGAAGGACGGGGAAAACUAUGCUAUUGCAAAAAAACCUGUGCUGGUGAGUCCUGAAAAACAAGUCUGUGCUCAGCCUCAGUAUGAUUAUGAAGAAAGGUACAGAGAGAGAGCACCAAAAAGUUAGAGCUUAAAAAAACAUGACUUAUGAGAAAUGGUUUAAUUUUGUUUUGGUUGAGACAGAAGUCUGAAAAAGAGCUUUCCCAGUGGACUUACAAUCUUUCAUAUUUGAAAAAUGCUUUUCUCCAGAACCACAUAUUGAAUCAGCAGCUUGAGGAUUAUUUGGAUUUCCUUGUUUGCAAGUCAGACUGGAGUGAGCAUAGUAUCAUAUCCUCUUCUGGAAGAAACAGGUCAAAAAAAUUGAGAGAUGAUCUUGCAUAAGCCCCAGAUCUUGCAACCUGUAACACCUCUUGGUCUUUAAAUGAUUUCAAGGAGUGUUCACUUUAUCUGUGUGCUUUUUAUGAGCUCAUUUUUAUUAGCUUUGACAUUUAACUAUAUGAAUUAGGGAAAGCUCUUAAGAAAAAGGUAACAAAGCCUAUAACCUGAUGGAGAAUAGGUAGAUGUUUUACCAGUUUUUUUUUCAGUUAUAUAGUAUAGUUGCCUGACCUAGCAAAGAGAAACUUUUCCUACUGUCAGGGCAAUUCUAGUAUAGUUACAUCUCUAUAAUUCACUAUGGGAAAAUUUAUUGCUGGAUAGAAUAUGCCAAUGAAAAGUUAGAUGUCUAAAAUAACAACAGGAUGUUUAGAGCAUAUUAGUUCUACAAGAGAGGGCAUUAAACAGAAAUGUAACCAAAGAGCUGUUCUGUAGUUACUUGCCACAAACAAAUUCUUACUCCACACCAAAACACCAGAUAGCUUAUGGCAAGCAACUUUUACCAUCUUUAAUCUACCACCAUUUUGGCUUAUAAAAAGAAGUCAUCAUUUAUUUCUCUCUUUCACAGUAAGCCAUCUCUCAUUUAACAUGUGGUAAGAGUUUACAUGUGGACACUAUAACAAAGUUACAGGUGUGCUCUCAAGUUCACAUUGUCGUCCACUUUACAGGAAAUUAUUGUUUUCUGAUACCUUUAGUUCCUGAUGUAGACAAGCCAGGAUGCAGUUUCCAGGCCCUCGCAGUACACAAAUAUCGCAGGAGAGCACUGUGUACACGAGGAAGCUCCAAACAGAGCCAAAGAAAACAGAGGAGUCACUUGGCCACUUCUGUAAAAAGUGGUGGCCAAUUAAAGGCAGUUGCAAAAACUCUGAUCUAGAAAGCUACUGCAGAAUAGAGUUAAUGGCUAUUGUUGAACCUGAAGAAGAAAGGAGGCGUAGACCAGGCAGGGAGCCUUGUUAAGAACAAGAUCUUGGACAGUUGGUGGUUAAAGUUCAGUCCUCGAGAUUGAAUGGAGAUGGGUGACCUUUUUUUUUUUUUUUUUUUUUUGAGGAUGAUUGCAAUUUAGGGACCUUAGGGAGAAACUUAGGGGAAAACCAGGAGGUCUAACACAAUGCUGAGAAAUUAGAAUGAACAAGAAAUAUUUAUUUCAUACUUCAGGUGCCUGUGAAGUUUUGUUGCCAGCUGGCAUCUCAAACAUCAUAAUACCAAGCUGGAAAUGUGAGCUAUAGAGCAGUCAAAUUUUGGUGAGGUCAAGAAAGAAAAUAAGAGCCGGAUGAGGGCUUAUGUCUGAUGCUAUGCCAAAAGCCAAAAGACUAUGCAAGCACUGAGGCAAUCUUCUUCCUAUAAAUGGAUAUGUAAAGUUUUUCGGUAGAGAAAAAGAAAGAAGAAAACAACUGAAAAACAUGCCCAUGAAGUCACAAAAUUGAACAAAUGAUGUUUCUCAGAUAGCUGGGGACAAAUCUCUACAAUUGAUUUCACAGUGUUAUCAAAUUGAAUUGCUUACUUCACCUGUUUUUAGUCUCUUGUGCUAUUCAGCCUUAUUGUUCCAGUCUGAAGACCUUCUGUUUUCUAUGAAAAAAAAUAACAAAAUCACACAUAAUUUCAUUAUUGUAAUUAAAGGACUAUUCUGUUCU
Molecule: long non-coding RNA, 4918 nt
Organism: Pipra filicauda (Wire-tailed manakin)
Lineage: Eukaryota; Metazoa; Chordata; Aves; Passeriformes; Pipridae
Exons: 2
Source: RefSeq, a predicted model, not a curated record